UGUCCACUGGCCAUGAAUGCUGCAAACUCAGCAAUCAGUUUGUUGUCCUGUUGUUUUGCUUGACUUGCUGCCAGAAAUGAUCCAGAAUCAGAGAUGUAGUUUGUGUUUGCAUACACUUCCCUUUGACUCUCAUCCUGCAAAAGCAAUGAAUAUGCAACAUCCAUUCCAGAUUCCAGUUCUGGAGCCCUGCAGGUUCCAUUGAUGAAACCAAGUUUCUUCUUGGCUGAUAAGGAUAGGAGGAUGGAUCUCCUCCAACCUGGAUAUCCUCUUCCGUCGAAAACAUUGUUGACCAAAGUCAUACCAGGCAUUUUGUUUCAACAGGG
Molecule: long non-coding RNA, 323 nt
Organism: Solanum dulcamara
Lineage: Eukaryota; Viridiplantae; Streptophyta; Magnoliopsida; Solanales; Solanaceae
Exons: 3
Source: RefSeq, a predicted model, not a curated record